GUGGGGAAUCUUGCGCAAUGGGCGAAAGCCUGACGCAGCCAUGCCGCGUGAAUGAUGAAGGUCUUAGGAUUGUAAAAUUCUUUCACCGGGGACGAUAAUGACGGUACCCGGAGAAGAAGCCCCGGCUAACUUCGUGCCAGCAGCCGCGGUAAUACGAAGGGGGCUAGCGUUGCUCGGAAUUACUGGGCGUAAAGGGCGCGUAGGCGGACAGUUUAGUCAGAGGUGAAAGCCCAGGGCUCAACCUUGGAAUUGCCUUUGAUACUGGCUGUCUUGAGUACGGGAGAGGUGAGUGGAACUCCGAGUGUAGAGGUGAAAUUCGUAGAUAUUCGGAGGAACACCAGUGGCGAAGGCGGCUCACUGGCUCGAUACUGACGCUGAGGUGCGAAAGCGUGGGGAGCAAAAGGGAUUAGAUACCCGAGUAGUCC
RNAcentral lists this ribosomal RNA (425 nucleotides) under uncultured bacterium. Its description in RNAcentral is "partial 16S ribosomal RNA". It matches the Rfam family "Bacterial small subunit ribosomal RNA", at positions 354 to 796 of the family's 1533-position model. The record is from RNAcentral.